GCACCCGUAGCUCAGCUGGAUAGAGUACUUGACUACGAAUCAAGGGGCCGUGAGUUCGAAUCUCGCCGGGUGCACCA
RNAcentral lists this transfer RNA (77 nucleotides) under Bacillota bacterium. RNAcentral's name for it is "tRNA-Arg". It matches the Rfam family "tRNA". Rfam says of the family: Transfer RNA (tRNA) molecules are approximately 80 nucleotides in length. Their secondary structure includes four short double-helical elements and three loops (D, anti-codon, and T loops). Further hydrogen bonds mediate the characteristic L-shaped molecular structure. tRNAs have two regions of fundamental functional importance: the anti-codon, which is responsible for specific mRNA codon recognition, and the 3' end, to which the tRNAs corresponding amino acid is attached (by aminoacyl-tRNA synthetases). tRNAs cope with the degeneracy of the genetic code in two manners: having more than one tRNA (with a specific anti-codon) for a particular amino acid; and 'wobble' base-pairing, i.e. permitting non-standard base-pairing at the 3rd anti-codon position. The record is from RNAcentral. Lineage: Bacteria; Bacillati; Bacillota.